This 462-nucleotide ribosomal RNA is filed under the name uncultured bacterium. Its description in RNAcentral is "bacterial SSU rRNA". It matches the Rfam family "Bacterial small subunit ribosomal RNA", at positions 55 to 507 of the family's 1533-position model. The record is from RNAcentral.
AUGCAAGUCGAACGGUAACAGGCCUAGCUUGCUAGGUGCUGACGAGUGGCGGACGGGUGAGUAACGCGUAGGAAUCUACCUAGUAGUGGGGGAUAACCUGGGGAAACCCAGGCUAAUACCGCAUGAGCCCCUAAGGGGGAAAGCAGGGGACCGUAAGGCCUUGUGCUAUUAGAUGAGCCUGCGUCAGAUUAGCUUGUUGGUGGGGUAAAGCCUACCAAGGCGAUGAUCUGUAGCUGGUCUGAGAGGACGACCAGCCACACUGGGGACUGAGACACGGCCCAGACUCCUACGGGAGGCAGCAGUGGGGAAUAUUGGACAAUGGGCGCAAGCCUGAUCCAGCAAUGCCGCGUGUGUGAAGAAGGCCUGCGGGUUGUAAAGCACUUUCAGUGGGGAGGAAGGCCUCAAUGCUAAUAGUAUUGAGGAUUGACGUUACCCACAGAAGAAGCACCGGCUAACUCUGUG